Molecule: transfer RNA, 74 nt
Filed under: Allomicrovenator marinus
Lineage: Bacteria; Deltaproteobacteria; Bradymonadales; Allomicrovenatoraceae
Description: Microvenator marinus tRNA
Rfam family: tRNA
About the family: Transfer RNA (tRNA) molecules are approximately 80 nucleotides in length. Their secondary structure includes four short double-helical elements and three loops (D, anti-codon, and T loops). Further hydrogen bonds mediate the characteristic L-shaped molecular structure. tRNAs have two regions of fundamental functional importance: the anti-codon, which is responsible for specific mRNA codon recognition, and the 3' end, to which the tRNAs corresponding amino acid is attached (by aminoacyl-tRNA synthetases). tRNAs cope with the degeneracy of the genetic code in two manners: having more than one tRNA (with a specific anti-codon) for a particular amino acid; and 'wobble' base-pairing, i.e. permitting non-standard base-pairing at the 3rd anti-codon position.
Source: Rfam by way of RNAcentral
GUGCUCGUAGCUCAGUUGGAUAGAGCAACGGCCUUCUAAGCCGUGGGUCGCAGGUUCGAGCCCUGCCGGGCACA